RNAcentral lists this ribosomal RNA (301 nucleotides) under uncultured bacterium. Its description in RNAcentral is "partial 16S ribosomal RNA". It matches the Rfam family "Bacterial small subunit ribosomal RNA", at positions 509 to 807 of the family's 1533-position model. The record is from RNAcentral.
CAGCCGCCACGGUAAUACGUAGGGUGCGAGCGUUAAUCGGAAUUACUGGGCGUAAAGCGUGCGCAGGCGGUUUUGUAAGACAGGCGUGAAAUCCCCGGGCUCAACCUGGGAACUGCAUUUGUGACUGUAGAGCUGGAGUGCGGCAGAGGGGGAUGGAAUUCCGCGUGUAGCAGUGAAAUGCGUAGAUAUGCGGAGGAACACCGAUGGCGAAGGCAAUCCCCUGGGCCUGCACUGACGCUCAUGCACGAAAGCGUGGGGAGCAAACAGGAUUAGAUACCCCUGUAGUCCCUGUCUCUUAUAC